UGUCAAAAAUAAACAAGAAAAAAUAACUCUAAACAUGGGCCUUUAAGCUUCUCUUCUUUUUACGUUAAAAAUCCCAAUAACAUUCAAUCCUAUUCCUCCACAUCUCUUCAAGCCGCAGCCGUCAAGAACUAUGAAACUUCAUUAGUUCAUGUCCAUAUCAUUCACUCAUUCUGAUCCUAAUCCGCCAAUCUUGGAUACAUCAUAUUUUGAAGGUUGUGAGAUCAAUUAAUGUGAAGGCAUCCUGAUGGGGAAAGUAUGGAACAUUUCAUCAAGAAAAAUACAUGGAUGCUGAAGCUUUGAAUUAUGUUGGUGUAUAUGGAAGUUAUAAGAGAAAAGUUAUGGUUAUGUAGUCAUAUGUUGAAGUAAUUCAUUAUUUUGUUUGAAUUGUAUAUGGUGUACGACUUUUAAACUUUUGAAAUGAAUAAAAAUGUUUGUAGUAUUAUAAGAUGCAA
Molecule: long non-coding RNA, 452 nt
Organism: Nicotiana attenuata
Lineage: Eukaryota; Viridiplantae; Streptophyta; Magnoliopsida; Solanales; Solanaceae
Exons: 2
Source: RefSeq, a predicted model, not a curated record